RNAcentral lists this ribosomal RNA (537 nucleotides) under Nosema sp. B PSH-2011. Its description in RNAcentral is "SSU rRNA". It matches the Rfam family "Microsporidia small subunit ribosomal RNA", at positions 1 to 594 of the family's 1311-position model. The record is from RNAcentral. Lineage: Eukaryota; Fungi; Microsporidia; Nosematidae.
CCAGGUUGAUUCUGCCUGACGUAGACGCUAUUCCCUAAGAUUAACCCAUGCAUGUUUUUGACAUUUGAAAAAUGGACUGCUCAGUAAUACUCACUUUAUUUUAUGUAUAUUUGAAAUUAAAUACGUUAAAGUGUAGAUAAGGUGUGUACAGUAAGAGUGAGACCUAUCAGCUAGUUGUUAAGGUAAUGGCUUAACAAGGCAGUGACGGGUAACGGUAUUACUUUGUAAUAUUCCGGAGAAGGAGCCUGAGAGACGGCUACUAAGUCUAAGGAUUGCAGCAGGGGCGAAACUUGACCUAUGGAUUUUAUCUGAGGCAGUUAUGGGAAGUAAUAUUAUAUUGUUUCAUAUUGUAAAAGUAUAUGAGGUGAUUAAUUGGAGGGCAAAUCAAGUGCCAGCAGCCGCGGUAAUACUUGUUCCAAGAGUGUGUAUGAUGAUUGAUGCAGUUAAAAAGUCCGUAGUUUAUUUUUAAGAAGCAAUAUGAGGUGUACUGUAUAGUUGGGAGAAAGAUGAAAUGUGACGACCCUGACUGGACGAACA